GAAGCAGAAAAAUUAUAUACAAGAUGGAAUGUACACAUCUAUCCAGGGGAACACAGAGCUUUCAGUCAGUCUUCCCCGCCUUCUCUCUCUCUCUCUGCCUCCCUCCCUUCUUCUCUCUCUCUUUCCCUCUCCCACUACCCAUUGCAGUGCUGAGGAUGAAACCCAAGACUUUGUGCUUGCUAUACCCCAGCUUGCCUGCCUACCUAACUACCUGCCUGCUUCCACUGGGUAUUGAACCCAGGGAUGCUCUACCACGGAGCUCCCUCCUCAGCCUCUUGAGUUUCUGGGAUUAUGUGUGUAGGUUAUCAUUCCUCCCUUGCUGGCUCUCGCUUGCUCGCUCGCUCGCUCUCUCUCUCUCUCUGUCUCAGACUUUCAUUUGACUAGAAUAGGAAGAUCACCAAAAAUGACCUCAGACGAAUUAGAAAGCAAUGUGUUUUAUAUUUGGAAUUGAUGAAAUUAUGUACCUUAAUCUAGAAAAACCAAACCUUUCAAAUGUUCCUUUAAAAUUAUCAGUAUUGCAAUCUGGGGCCACUUGC
Molecule: long non-coding RNA, 536 nt
Filed under: Marmota monax (woodchuck)
Lineage: Eukaryota; Metazoa; Chordata; Mammalia; Rodentia; Sciuridae
Source: RNAcentral